RNAcentral lists this ribosomal RNA (587 nucleotides) under Escherichia coli. RNAcentral describes it as "partial 23S ribosomal RNA". It matches the Rfam family "Bacterial large subunit ribosomal RNA", at positions 612 to 1200 of the family's 2925-position model. Lineage: Bacteria; Pseudomonadati; Pseudomonadota; Gammaproteobacteria; Enterobacterales; Enterobacteriaceae. The record is from RNAcentral.
AUAAUGGGUCAGCGACUUAUAUUCUGUAGCAAGGUUAACCGAAUAGGGGAGCCGAAGGGAAACCGAGUCUUAACUGGGCGUUAAGUUGCAGGGUAUAGACCCGAAACCCGGUGAUCUAGCCAUGGGCAGGUUGAAGGUUGGGUAACACUAACUGGAGGACCGAACCGACUAAUGUUGAAAAAUUAGCGGAUGACUUGUGGCUGGGGGUGAAAGGCCAAUCAAACCGGGAGAUAGCUGGUUCUCCCCGAAAGCUAUUUAGGUAGCGCCUCGUGAAUUCAUCUCCGGGGGUAGAGCACUGUUUCGGCAAGGGGGUCAUCCCGACUUACCAACCCGAUGCAAACUGCGAAUACCGGAGAAUGUUAUCACGGGAGACACACGGCGGGUGCUAACGUCCGUCGUGAAGAGGGAAACAACCCAGACCGCCAGCUAAGGUCCCAAAGUCAUGGUUAAGUGGGAAACGAUGUGGGAAGGCCCAGACAGCCAGGAUGUUGGCUUAGAAGCAGCCAUCAUUUAAAGAAAGCGUAAUAGCUCACUGGUCGAGUCGGCCUGCGCGGAAGAUGUAACGGGGCUAAACCAUGCACCGAAGC